Molecule: long non-coding RNA, 259 nt
Filed under: Trifolium pratense (red clover)
Lineage: Eukaryota; Viridiplantae; Streptophyta; Magnoliopsida; Fabales; Fabaceae
Description: long non-coding RNA (TPRA_LNC006426)
Source: RNAcentral
UUGGUUGAUUUUAUUUAUGAAAAUAUUUUAGGCCGCGCUUGGGCGAAAAAAAUAUUUGAUUGAGAAGACGGACUCACACUUGGGCGAUGAUAUCCGCUCGAGAAAAAAAAUAAUUUAACGCACACGGGCGUGAAAAUAAUGUUUGAUGGGUUGAAAUUGAUUUUAUUGUUUUUUAAGAGAAUGACGAUUAUCCGGACUACGAGUCAUACGUCAAGAGUCCAGAAAACCGGGAAGUGGGGUAGUCAUACGUCAAUCCACU